RNAcentral lists this microRNA (22 nucleotides) under Gallus gallus (chicken). RNAcentral's name for it is "Gga-Mir-1601_5p (mature (co-guide))". Lineage: Eukaryota; Metazoa; Chordata; Aves; Galliformes; Phasianidae. The record is from RNAcentral.
AGCUCUGCACGCCGUGCACUGA